GCCCCUGUAGCUCAGCUGGAUAGAGCACAGGUUUCCUAAACCUGGUGUCGCCCGUUCGACUCGGGCCAGGGGCGCCA
This 77-nucleotide transfer RNA is filed under the name Omnitrophica bacterium RIFCSPLOWO2_01_FULL_45_24. Its description in RNAcentral is "tRNA-Arg". It matches the Rfam family "tRNA". Rfam says of the family: Transfer RNA (tRNA) molecules are approximately 80 nucleotides in length. Their secondary structure includes four short double-helical elements and three loops (D, anti-codon, and T loops). Further hydrogen bonds mediate the characteristic L-shaped molecular structure. tRNAs have two regions of fundamental functional importance: the anti-codon, which is responsible for specific mRNA codon recognition, and the 3' end, to which the tRNAs corresponding amino acid is attached (by aminoacyl-tRNA synthetases). tRNAs cope with the degeneracy of the genetic code in two manners: having more than one tRNA (with a specific anti-codon) for a particular amino acid; and 'wobble' base-pairing, i.e. permitting non-standard base-pairing at the 3rd anti-codon position. Lineage: Bacteria; Pseudomonadati; Candidatus Omnitrophota. RNAcentral also lists the same sequence under 1 other name. The record is from RNAcentral.